GGGGGGGCAUCCCUGUGGAGGCUCUGGGGGAGGGUCCUUCCUGCUUCUCCCGCAUCCUUGGUGCUUCUUGGCCUGUGGCUGCAUCGCUGCCGUCUCUCCCCUGCAUUGUCACAUGGCGGCCGUCCCCCUGUGUGUCCCCUCUCUGUCUUUGCGUCUUCACACCUGGCCUUCAAAGACUCUAUUUCCAAAUAGGCCACAUUCUGAGGUUCCAAGUGGAUAUGAGUCUGGGGGGACACUAUCCAACUCACUACACAGACCGAGUAGUUACAUCGUCUACAUCACAGGCCCAAGAAUUCAUGAAGCGUAACAGGUUUCACCAAGGGACCCUGAAAUAAAAGUGGCUUAAUCGGGAGAAAAGUUUAUUUACCUCUCAUAUUGUGCUCAGAGGGUAAGCAUCCAAGGGCUGAGAACCCCUGUUGUCAGGAACUUAAACUCCUGCCUUCUGUGCUGCAGUCCUCAAGACAUGGUUUCGGUCUUGUGUGUCAAAAAUGGCUGCCGCAGCUCCAGCCAUCACCUUCACACUCCAGCACGGAGGAAGAGCAAAGAAGUGAAAAGCAUGCCUCUCCCUUUAAGGACCUGGAAAUAAUCUAUCACUUCUGUUCAAGUGCCUGUAAGCUUAGUCACAUGACCUUAUUUGCUGCAAAGAUGGCUGGGAAAGGUCGUCUUCCUCUGGAUAGUCACACAUCCGACUAAAACUCCCGGGUGCUGCUACCCCGUAGUCUUGAGCGCAAAUAUGUCACAGGGAAAAUGGCUCCGGGGAAGACUGCCCUUCCAGGGAUAACCCAUCCCACUGCCCUGGGCCCUGCUGACCUUUGGACCGAGGUCAGGGGCCACGUCGUCCCCUUCAGGUGGGUGUUCUGGGAGGGGUGAGCAUGAGGAGCCCAGCACGUGGUGGGGACCCAGGCCAGGCCCGGGGAGGGUGAUGUCUGGGACCUCCAGGAUGAGGGACGCGGGCGGCCGGGCAGGAGUGCGGUUCCAGCAGAGGAACAGAGUAUGCAGAGGCCCAGAGGCCACGGACAGGUAUGAAACCGCAGGCACCACAGCAGGUGUGAGGUUGGAGGUCUCAGCUGGCAUGGGGUCCUGAGGGCCCUUGACGAGGGCUCUGGAUGUGGAACUUCAGCCCAGGGGGCCCAGGAUCACCGUGGACGGGGCACAGACCAACGGCCGGGCAGCGGCUGGGAGCAGGGCCCGUCCAGGUGACCCGGGGCGAUCUCCCUCCAGAUCCUCGAGCACCUCUGCCAAGAUCACAAAGGUCACACUCGGGUUCCAGGUGGACAUAACUGCCGCGUGGGGGCACCGCUCAACCCGCUACAACGACAAAAGCAAAUCGCAAAGCGCUCCGUGUACAAUGAUACCGUGUUUGCGACGAACAGACGUGCGUGCCUCCGUGCGCGUGGGCGGCGAGCCCGUGGUGUGCGUGCGGCCGCACCGGCCUAACGUGUGCGUGUUUGUGUCCGGAAGCGGGCUGGUUAACCGCCCUCCCCUUGGGGGAUGGGCUCGGGAGGAGGAGGCGGCCCCUGUCUGCUUUGUAAUGACGCGUAUGUAUUUCGCAUUUUUAAGUGACCGAAAGUUGCCUUUAUUCCUUAGGAAGGGGGCGCGAGGGAGGUAGGAAGUCCCGGCCCCUGGCUCGGAUGACUCUCUCCCAGCCCAGGGCGCAGCUAGAAGCCCAGGGCGGGGGCCUGGGUCCAGCUCUGUCCCGCAGGGGCACCGGCCUCCCGGCCUGACUCUGGCAGAGAGGGCCACCGGGAACCCGCAGAGAACCACGUGGGCGCGACAGACCGACCCAGAAUAAGCACGGCUGUGGCUGUCCCCACGGUGAUGAUUUUGGGGGUGCCACAGGGGGAUACUUUGGCAAACUUCCCUGUGAUUUUCUGGGACUUUUUUAAGGGGCGCGUGUGUAUGUGUGUGUGUGUAAACCUCCCGUGUGUAGUUAGCUCAUCUUCAGCCGACUGUACCCGUGACCGCUUUUCGUAAAAGGGGGGAAGCCUUACUGUGGCCCGAGUCCUGUCCCCAGCUCCACAGCUUGCGCUCUAACCCCCCAGGUGAUGCUGGGAGGGGACUGGGGGUGAUGGGGUUAGUGCCCCCGGUUCUCCUCCCCCCUCUGUCUCCCCACCUCUCCCCACAGGUGCGCGCGCACCCAGAGAAGGCGGCCAUCUGCAAGCCCGGGGAGUUCUCACCAGGAGCCGACCCUGACCUCCAGCGUCCUGCCUCCGGAACCCGGAGAAGCGAGCGCCUGUCGUGUCAGCCGCGAGUGCUGUUUGCACGCGCGCGUGUGGAUGGAGUGCGAUUCAGCCCCCCCGCCCGCUGUUGUGUUCACCUGCACGUACCCCCCCCCCCCCCCCCACUGCUCCCUGGCCGGCUUCUCUCAGUAGAACCAGAGUCCUCAGUCCCAUUCUCGGGGACCCGCAGUUGGCAGUGAA
This is a long non-coding RNA of Leopardus geoffroyi (Geoffroy's cat), 2420 nucleotides long. RefSeq lists it as uncharacterized. The transcript has 2 exons. The record is from RefSeq and is a predicted model, not a curated record. NCBI's taxonomy places the organism in Eukaryota, Metazoa, Chordata, Mammalia, Carnivora, Felidae.